GUGGGGAAUCUUGCGCAAUGGGCGAAAGCCUGACGCAGCCAUGCCGCGUGGAUGAUGAAGGUCUUAGGAUUGUAAAAUCCUUUCACCGGUGAAGAUAAUGACUGUAGCCGGAGAAGAAGCCCCGGCUAACUUCGUGCCAGCAGCCGCGGUAAUACGAAGGGGGCUAGCGUUGCUCGGCAUUACUGGGCGUACAGGGAGCGUAGGCGGACAUUUAAGUCAGGGGUGAAAUCCCGAGGCUCAACCUCGGAACUGCCUUUGAUACUGGGUGUCUUGAGUGUGAGAGAGGUGAGUGGAACUCCGAGUGUAGAGGUGAAAUUCGUAGAUAUUCGGAAGAACACCAGUGGCGAAGGCGACUCGCUGGCUCAUUACUGACGCUGAGGCUCGAAAGCGUGGGGAGCAAACAGGAUUAGAUACCCGAGUAGUCC
RNAcentral lists this ribosomal RNA (425 nucleotides) under uncultured bacterium. Its description in RNAcentral is "partial 16S ribosomal RNA". It matches the Rfam family "Bacterial small subunit ribosomal RNA", at positions 354 to 796 of the family's 1533-position model. The record is from RNAcentral.